UACAGAGGGGGCAAGCGUUGUUCGGAAUUACUGGGCGUAAAGGGCGCGUAGGCGGCCUUCUAAGUCGAACGUGAAAUCCCCGGGCUCAACCCGGGAACUGCGUCCGAUACUGGAAGGCUUGAAUCCGGGAGAGGGAUGCGGAAUUCCAGGUGUAGCGGUGAAAUGCGUAGAUAUCUGGAGGAAUACCGGUGGCGAAGGCGGCAUCCUGGACCGGCAUUGACGCUGAUGAGCGAAAGCUAGGGGAGCAAACAGG
This 253-nucleotide ribosomal RNA is filed under the name uncultured bacterium. RNAcentral describes it as "partial 16S ribosomal RNA". It matches the Rfam family "Bacterial small subunit ribosomal RNA", at positions 524 to 776 of the family's 1533-position model. The record is from RNAcentral.